RNAcentral lists this transfer RNA (71 nucleotides) under Sphaerochaeta pleomorpha str. Grapes. Its description in RNAcentral is "tRNA-Gly (TCC) (tRNA-Gly-TCC-1-1)". It matches the Rfam family "tRNA". From Rfam's summary of the family: Transfer RNA (tRNA) molecules are approximately 80 nucleotides in length. Their secondary structure includes four short double-helical elements and three loops (D, anti-codon, and T loops). Further hydrogen bonds mediate the characteristic L-shaped molecular structure. tRNAs have two regions of fundamental functional importance: the anti-codon, which is responsible for specific mRNA codon recognition, and the 3' end, to which the tRNAs corresponding amino acid is attached (by aminoacyl-tRNA synthetases). tRNAs cope with the degeneracy of the genetic code in two manners: having more than one tRNA (with a specific anti-codon) for a particular amino acid; and 'wobble' base-pairing, i.e. permitting non-standard base-pairing at the 3rd anti-codon position. The record is from Rfam by way of RNAcentral. Lineage: Bacteria; Pseudomonadati; Spirochaetota; Spirochaetia; Spirochaetales; Sphaerochaetaceae.
GCGCCUUUCGUAUAAUGGUAUUACCUCAGCCUUCCAAGCUGAAGAAACGGGUUCGACUCCCGCAAGGCGCU